This 440-nucleotide ribosomal RNA is filed under the name uncultured bacterium. RNAcentral describes it as "bacterial SSU rRNA". It matches the Rfam family "Bacterial small subunit ribosomal RNA", at positions 338 to 770 of the family's 1533-position model. The record is from RNAcentral.
CCUACGGGAGGCAGCAGUGAGGAAUAUUGCACAAUGGGCGAAAGCCUGAUGCAGCGACGCCGCGUGGAGGAUGAAGGUCUUCGGAUUGUAAACUCCUGUCAAAUGGGAAGAAAGACCUGCCUUUAAUACAGGUGGGGGAUGACGGUACCAUUAGAGGAAGCACCGGCUAACUUCGUGCCAGCAGCCGCGGUAAUACGAGGGGUGCAAGCGUUAUUCGGAAUUACUGGGCGUAAAGGGUGUGUAGGUGGUGUAUUAAGUCUGUUGUUAAAUCUCCUGGCUUAACUGGGAAAUCGUGAUGGAAACUAAUACGCUAGAGUGUGAGAGAGAGAAGUGGAAUUCUCGGAGUAGCGGUAAAAUGCGUAGAUAUCGAGAGGAACACCGAUGGCGAAAGCAGCUUCUUGGCUCACUACUGACACUGAAACACGAAAGCGUGGGGAGCA